GUUCAUAUAGUUUAAAGUCAACAAAUUAGACUGUGGCUCUAAAAAUAGAGGUUUAAACCCCCUUAUAAACC
This 71-nucleotide transfer RNA is filed under the name Dogania subplana. RNAcentral's name for it is "tRNA-His". It matches the Rfam family "tRNA". From Rfam's summary of the family: Transfer RNA (tRNA) molecules are approximately 80 nucleotides in length. Their secondary structure includes four short double-helical elements and three loops (D, anti-codon, and T loops). Lineage: Eukaryota; Metazoa; Chordata; Testudines; Trionychidae. The record is from RNAcentral.